This 911-nucleotide ribosomal RNA is filed under the name uncultured bacterium. Its description in RNAcentral is "bacterial SSU rRNA". It matches the Rfam family "Bacterial small subunit ribosomal RNA", at positions 16 to 917 of the family's 1533-position model. RNAcentral also lists the same sequence under 1 other name. The record is from RNAcentral.
AUUCUGGCUCAGGAUGAACGCUAGCUACAGGCUUAACACAUGCAAGUCGAGGGGAAACGACAUCGAAAGCUUGCUUUUGAUGGGCGUCGACCGGCGCACGGGUGAGUAACGCGUAUCCAACCUGCCCACCACUUGGGGAUAACCUUGCGAAAGUAAGACUAAUACCCAAUGAUAUCUCUAGAAGACAUCUGAAAGGGAUUAAAGAUUUAUCGGUGAUGGAUGGGGACGCGUCUGAUUAGCUUGUUGGCGGGGUAACGGCCCACCAAGGCUACGAUCAGUAGGGGUUCUGAGAGGAAGGUCCCCCACAUUGGAACUGAGACACGGUCCAAACUCCUACGGGAGGCAGCAGUGAGGAAUAUUGGUCAAUGGACGAGAGUCUGAACCAGCCAAGUAGCGUGCAGGAUGACGGCCCUAUGGGUUGUAAACUGCUUUUAUAAGGGAAUAAAGUGAGUCUCGUGAGACUUUUUGCAUGUACCUUAUGAAUAAGGACCGGCCAAUUCCGUGCCAGCAGCCGCGGUAAUACGGAAGGUCCGGGCGUUAUCCGGAUUUAUUGGGUUUAAAGGGAGCGUAGGCCGGAGAUUAAGCGUGUUGUGAAAUGUAGAUGCUCAACAUCUGCACUGCAGCGCGAACUGGUUUCCUUGAGUACGCACAAAGUGGGCGGAAUUCGUGGUGUAGCGGUGAAAUGCUUAGAUAUCACGAAGAACUCCGAUUGCGAAGGCAGCUCACUGGAGCGCAACUGACGCUGAAGCUCGAAAGUGCGGGUAUCGAACAGGAUUAGAUACCCUGGUAGUCCGCACGGUAAACGAUGGAUGCCCGCUGUUGGUCUGAAUAGGUCAGCGGCCAAGCGAAAGCAUUAAGCAUCCCACCUGGGGAGUACGCCGGCAACGGUGCAACUCAAAUGAAUUGACGGA